CCUACGGGUGGCAGCAGUGGGGAAUAUUGCACAAUGGGGGAAACCCUGAUGCAGCGACGCCGCGUGAGUGAGGAAGUAUUUCGGUAUGUAAAGCUCUAUCAGCAGGGAAGAAAAUGACGGUACCUGACUAAGAAGCCCCGGCUAACUACGUGCCAGCCGCCGCGGUAAUACGUAGGGGGCAAGCGUUAUCCGGAUUUACUGGGUGUAAGGGGAGCGUAGACGGCUAAUCAAGACAGAAGUGAAAACCCCGGGCUCAACCUUGGGAGUGCUUUUGAAAAUGAGGAGCAGGAGGGCAGGAGAGGAAGGCGGAAUCCCUGGUGUAGCGGGGAAAUGCAUAGAUAUAAGGAGGAACCCAGGUGGCGAAGGGGGCUUACGGGACUGCAACUGCGGUUGAGGCUCAAAAGCGGGGGGAGCAAACAGGAUUAGAUCCCCGUGUAGUC
RNAcentral lists this ribosomal RNA (440 nucleotides) under uncultured bacterium. RNAcentral's name for it is "partial 16S ribosomal RNA". It matches the Rfam family "Bacterial small subunit ribosomal RNA", at positions 338 to 795 of the family's 1533-position model. The record is from RNAcentral.